AAAACAAACAAACAAGAAAACAAACAACAAAAAACCCUUUUCAUGUAACUCUGAUCCUUGAGGACCUCAUCUUUGUUCUCUUCUAGAACGGGAUCCUUUGCCUCACCAGCUAGCCAUGUGGAGGAAAUGCUAUCCAUGAAGAAUGGAGCCUUUUAUGGAACCCAAACCUUCUAAGCUGUGUCUCCUUUCCUCAGCGCCCACUCAUGGCCUCAGUGUGGUCUGGUGCACAUCAUGCUCCCUUUGUCCUUUGUGUUCCACAGGUAACCACCCCACUUCCUCAGUCUCUUCCACGCUGCAGUCUCUUCUUUCCUCACCAUGGUUGCCAACCCUCCUCCAGACACAGUGCUCCACCUAAAAGAAGGUCUGCCAAAGCGGCAAUAGGACCUUGAUGCUCACAGAGUCUGUCCCUUUCCUGGAGUUCAUGACCCUUUUAUGUGUCACAAAGACAGGGCUUAGUGGGUGACAAGGGCCUUUUUGCCUCAUAGCUGGGCAGGUGAGCGUGGAGGUAGGAGGAAUCACAAUCAAUCUGAGGACUGUGUGAAUUGAUGGGCACAGCGUGAAGAGGCAGGACAACACCCCCCCCUGUCAGUGGCACUGAUUAGGCACGGGGUCCAUCCUCAGUUCAACCCACAGAAGGGUCCUGGCGAUGUACCUGAAAACAGGGAUGACGUAGUCGCUUGGAAAGAUGCCAGCUCGCCCCGUGACUAAGGAGAGACCCCUCAGCCAGCCAUCUUGGUACUUCCCCAGCACCCUGAUGCCUUCUCCUUUCUGCAGGUCCAGCUCGUCAGGUCCGUGGGCUGAGUACGAGUGCAGGGCUACACACCUGGAAACACAAGGAACUCGUGCAUAAGGGAGGCGGAGGAGGAUGCUGAGGAGGGCGCAGAGCUGAGGAGGGGCUGGGGGAGGCCAGUCCCUCCAGCUCACCUGCCAGCACCUAGCAACAAAAACCAUUAAAAAUGGAAACUUAAGCAUGGGAAGGCAGACAGGAGUGGAACCACCUGGCUGACAUGCCAGGGGACAUCCUGCUUUCGUCUCUCCACUCCAUAGGGCACCGCAUGGCUGGAAAUCAGACGGGCCACCGUGGGCACCGUGGCAAUGGGGAGCUGGCCUCCAGCACGUUAGAGACUUGAAGGACAGGGUCCGUGGGAGAGGUGUGUGGGAGUCUACCUUAGUGCUUUCUCACUACUGUCUCCUGUUGUUCUGAGGACAGCAAGGCUCGGGGAGACAAGAGUCAUCACAAAAGCCUCUCUGAAAACCCUCUGUGGUGCGGGACUGCGAGGAGGGCUUUGUUUGACUUCCAGGAACGGCCUGGGAGAUAGCUGGGUGCCAAUUGUAAAGUGUACGUUAGGAAGUCGGAGGCAGGGGUGAUGAUCCUUAUUAUUUUUGCACACAGUGAUUCCCACUGGCUGGACAGUAGGUGGAGGAGAAUGGGUUUUGUAUCAUGGAAAAAUGUGAGUGAGGAGAAAAUAGACACUGUAUUCUAAAGUUCACACAGGAGUCAGGGAGGUGGCGUCCAAGUAUGAGUCACGGAUGUGAGGACACUGGGGAACAGUGAGGCUGAGGCUGAGGACAUGAGAACAGCUGCCUCGUGAGAGCCAUUAAAGGAAGAACUUGAUUGCCUUGCUGGAUUCCGGGUCACUUCAGCCAGGCAUGUCCAAGCCUUUGACAUUGUGACACGAUGUUGUCAUCUACAAAAUUUAUGCCCAGAACUGUAUAAUUGAGUUUAUAAAAAAUAAAAAAGCAAAAUAGAUCUGCUAA
Peromyscus eremicus (cactus mouse) is the source of this 1758-nucleotide long non-coding RNA. RefSeq lists it as uncharacterized. The transcript has 2 exons. The record is from RefSeq and is a predicted model, not a curated record. NCBI's taxonomy places the organism in Eukaryota, Metazoa, Chordata, Mammalia, Rodentia, Cricetidae.